Molecule: ribosomal RNA, 593 nt
Filed under: uncultured bacterium
Lineage: Bacteria
Description: bacterial SSU rRNA
Rfam family: Bacterial small subunit ribosomal RNA
Source: RNAcentral
UAGAGUUUGAUCCUGGCUCAGGAUUAACGCUAGCGGCAGGCAUAAUACAUGCAAGUUGAACGGGAUCAGUUGUAGCAAUACGACUGUGAGAGUAGCGCACGGGUGCGUAACACGUAUGGAAUCUGCCCCUAUCUGUGGAAUAGCCCCUCGAAAGAGGGAUUAAUACCACAUAAUAUAGCGAAUAGGCAUCUAUUUGUUAUCAAAGCUCAGGCGGAUAGGGAUGACCAUGCGGCUGAUUAGCUAGUUGGUGAGGUAACGGCUCACCAAGGCUACGAUCAGUAGGGGGUCUGAGAGGAUGUCCCCCCACACUGGUACUGAGACACGGACCAGACUCCUACGGGAGGCAGCAGUAGGGAAUAUUGGUCAAUGGGCGCAAGCCUGAACCAGCCAUGCCGCGUGCAGGAUGAAGGCCCUAUGGGUCGUAAACUGCUUCUGUACGGGAAGAAAUCUCAUUACGUGUAAUGAGUUGACGGUACCGUGAGAAUAAGGAUCGGCUAACUUCGUGCCAGCAGCCGCGGUAAUACGAAGGAUCCAAGCGUUGUCCGGAUUUACUGGGUUUAAAGGGUGCGUAGGCGGAUGAUUAAGUCAGUGGU